UCGCGUGGGGAGGCUCGCUCCUGUGGGGAGCUUCGCUCGGCACCCGCUGGGCGGGCGAACCCGAAACCGGGCUUGGGACCCGAGCGCCAGAUCCCGGACCCUGGACUGCGACUCUUUUGAACUCUGUGCUUCUCUAAAAUAGGAACCCAGAAGAGGACUGGUCAUUUCUUGCAGCUCAAUGACCAUCACUAAGAGAUUGGUGAUGUUCAGGGAUGUGGCCAUUGACUUCUCUCAGGAAGAGAGUGAAUGCCUGGACUCUCAAAGUGAUUUGUAUAGAUAUGUGAUGUUAGAAAACUAUAAACUGUGGUGUGAUUAAGAAGGAUAUCUGCUCCUCGUAUUUCAGGAUCCACCUUUGAAAUGGCUCCUUUCUCUGCCAUUAUUUCUAGGUUUCUUUUUAAGUAAUUAAAUGAAUUUCUUAUUCUCAAAGGAAUGGUUUGAAGUUGACACAUUUCAUAGAAUAUCUUUAUCUACUACAUCCUUCAGAAAGCCUUAACACUGCCUUAUAAUACCUGUCCUCCCUACCAUCUUCCAUGAUGUCAAGGGGCUAGAUUUGAAUUCAGGGACAUUUGCAAUAUUGUCAGAAAAAAAAACAGGCUAUGUGUUGUUACUCUUUAGAUCUGCUAAAAGAGCUCUAAAUAAUUCACAUGUCCAAUCUAAUUUUAAAAAUAGAUGCUGAUAUGUAUGGCUUUUCUGAUCAGAAGAGCUUAUGUCCUUUGUAUGGUGAUAAGGUGGAUCAAUGCAUUUCACUAACAACUCAAGUGAACACAAUUAAUUUAUUACUUACAACAAAUACGUUGUCAUCUGUGUGCUUGGUAAUUGAAUAUUACAUGUUAAGAACUUUGCGUUUUACACUGAGUGAAUAUGCUAGAAUCACCUUUUAUUUGAAAAUAACUUAGGAUGAAGUUUCAUAAGGGACAAAGCCUAUAUCAAUUAAAACCUUAUUUAAUAAGUGAUUUUCUUACCUAGGGAAUCACUUUUUUCCUUGUACUUCUAAUGUCACUGGAAUUUAACUCUCUCUUGCCUCUUCACUUCUUUUUCCUUUGAAGGUUUUAUAAAGUUAUUGAUUGCUGCACUCCCCUGCAGGACCCAACGUGUGUGGGAAAAAGACCUAUGGCUUGAGGGAUAAAAGCAAGGACUUUUCAGUGUAAUCUCCCUAAAGAAUCUCACCUGUUGUGGUUGGAAUGUCCCCCAGAGUUUAUGUUGGAAUUUAACCCCCAAUAUGUUGGUAGAAGGUGGUGUCUUUAGGAUGUGAUUGGAUCUCAAGGACUGUGUCCUAAUGAAUGGAUUAGUCCAUUCCUGGAGUAAUGGGUUAAUGGUUUAAUGGGCUGUCGUGCGUGUGGACUGGUGGUUUUAUGAGGAGAACGCAUGUGAAAGAGUGCUUGCCAUCUUUGCCAUGUGAUUACCUGCAUCACCAUGGGACUCUGUAGAGAGUUCCCACCCCGAAGAGGGCCCUCACAGAUGUUCCCCCUGGACUG
This is a long non-coding RNA of Cynocephalus volans (Philippine flying lemur), 1475 nucleotides long. RefSeq lists it as uncharacterized. The record is from RefSeq and is a predicted model, not a curated record. NCBI's taxonomy places the organism in Eukaryota, Metazoa, Chordata, Mammalia, Dermoptera, Cynocephalidae. The transcript is spliced from 3 exons.